GACGGAGGGUGCUAGCGUUGUUCGGAAUUACUGGGCGUAAAGGGCGCGUAGGCGGCCUGGUCAGUCGGAUGUGAAAGCCCGGGGCUCAACCCCGGAACGGCAUCCGAGACGGCCAGGCUGGAGACCGGGAGAGGAGAGUGGAAUAGCCAGUGUAGAGGUGAAAUUCGUAGAUAUUGGGAAGAACACCGGUGGCGAAGGCGGCGCUCUGGACCGAGACUGACGCUGAGGCGCGAAGGCGUGGGGAGCAAACAGG
This 253-nucleotide ribosomal RNA is filed under the name uncultured bacterium. Its description in RNAcentral is "partial 16S ribosomal RNA". It matches the Rfam family "Bacterial small subunit ribosomal RNA", at positions 524 to 776 of the family's 1533-position model. The record is from RNAcentral.